UACGGAGGGUGCAAACGUUGCUCGGAAUCAUUGGGCGUAAAGCGCACGUAGGCGGUCUUUUAAGUCGGAUGUGAAAGCCCCAGGCUCAACCUGGGAAGUGCAUCGGAAACUGAAAGGCUAGAGGACGGAAGAGGGUCUCGGAAUUCCCGGUGUAGAGGUGAAAUUCGUAGAUAUCGGGAGGAACACCAGUGGCGAAGGCGGAGACCUGGGCCGAUACUGACGCUGAGGUGCGAAAGCGUGGGGAGCAAACAGG
Molecule: ribosomal RNA, 253 nt
Filed under: uncultured bacterium
Lineage: Bacteria
Description: partial 16S ribosomal RNA
Rfam family: Bacterial small subunit ribosomal RNA
Source: RNAcentral